Molecule: ribosomal RNA, 445 nt
Filed under: uncultured bacterium
Lineage: Bacteria
Description: partial 16S ribosomal RNA
Rfam family: Bacterial small subunit ribosomal RNA
Source: RNAcentral
CCAGACUCCUACGGGAGGCAGCAGUGGGGGAUAUUGCACAAUGGGGGGAACCCUGAUGCAGCGACGCCGCGUGGGUGAAGGAGCGUUUCGGCGCGUAAAGCCCUAUCGGCAGGGAAGAAGGAGGACGGUACCUGACUAAGAAGCCCCGGCUAACUACGUGCCAGCAGCCGCGGUAAUACGUAGGGGGCAAGCGUUAUCCGGAUUUACUGGGUGUAAAGGGAGCGUAGACGGAAAGGCAAGUCAGAAGUGAAAGCCCAAGGCUCAACCAUGGGACUGCUUUUGAAACUGUCAAACUAGAGUACGGGAGAGGUAAGAGGAAUUCCUAGUGUAGCGGUGAAAUGCGUAGAUAUUAGGAGGAACACCAGUGGCGAAGGCGUCUUACUGGACCGAAACUGACGUUGAGGCUCGAAAGCGUGGGGAGCAAACAGGAUUAGAUACCCCAGUA